RNAcentral lists this long non-coding RNA (3302 nucleotides) under Daphnia pulex (common water flea). Its description in RNAcentral is "uncharacterized LOC124204748, transcript variant X1". Lineage: Eukaryota; Metazoa; Arthropoda; Branchiopoda; Diplostraca; Daphniidae. The record is from RNAcentral.
UGUUUUUUGAACUUUUUCUUCAAUCGAAUUUUUGAAUUUUCAUCGUGAAUAGUGUCACCGCUAGAUGGUGGAUAGCUCGAGUGGCAUUUCGGGGGGCACGGAAGUUUCGUCUGCUUGGGAAUUCAAUAAAAAAACAUGUGAGGCAACAACAGGCAAGCGAGUUAAUUUUUAAUUUUUUUAAUUUUACUUUUCUGAGAAAGUCGUGAAUAGAAAAAUAGGCUUUGAAACAGAAUCUAUUGCCGAUUGACUGUCAAUAUGGACCUUAAUUUUCAGAUAAAUAGUGUCAAGGACAGAAUGAGAAACAAAGCACCACAGGAGAUUGCACUUGAAGUAAAGGAAAUUUGAGAAUGACGAUGAUUCUAAAACUGGGCAACUUUUUUAGGCUUCCAACUUUUUUGAAUGUGAUUUCAAGUUUUUGACCUUGAACACAUUCAGUGGGGAAAAUUGGCUGAAUUCAACCUCAACAAAGAAGUAUUGGAAGUAGUUGCCCAGGAAAAAGUUGAACUCUAGUUUCUAUCAAUAAGUUGGACUCCCCUGAAAUUCAUGUUGCCAAGCAGAAGGGAUCAUGAGGAGGUUGUUUUGACUCCACACAAUUCUGGAACCUGAUAUGAGAAGUUCCGUUUACAGAGGCAAUAGCAGAAACCAAAUUCACUGAAAAUGGAAAUCCAAUCAAACUGUAACCAAAACAUUGAAAUUCCGCCACGUUAUCGCUCUUUUCGCCUUCUAGAAGAUGAAGACAAUUCUGUUACAGACACUGAUCGAGUCCGUCGCAACGGCAGCGAAUCGUUGGAGCGACAGGCGAGUAUCAUUCGUUCCCCUUGGGGCGUAGAGCAGCGAUUGAGGUUAACAAACGAAAUUAGAACAACAGUUUUUCGCCUAAUUAUUCUGAUAGGCUGUUGUGGCGAGAGUAUUUCUCUCUGGUGGUUAAUGUGCAGCUAAACAAAAUGGGUGACGUUGGCGGAAGCAGCCCUCAACAUUUUAGUGCAGAUUUGAUCACAGUCCUAUCUUUCUGUGCAUGCUGGUAUUGCAAUGUCAUCAUCAGCAGUUCAGCUUCUUUACUAUUUUGGGUGUUGAUGUUUGUGACUUGCAAAUGGUGAAUUCUAGUGAACUGACUCCCUGGACAUCAAAAUAGGGAAAAUCGGCAUGGGAUAUAUGGAAGGCUGCAGCAGUAGGAUCCAUCCUGGUUGUGGACUGCAAGAUGACGUGAACGGUUCAAACGUUAUUUUCGGGCAGGAUGCAGACAUGGGCCGGCUUUCCUCCUUUCCAGAUCAAGAAUCCAAUCGAUAGUUUAGAUGAGUGAAUUCCAGGUCAGCCAAUGAGGCGUCACUACUUUCGAUAUCAGUACAUCACCGCACAAUUCCGGUGAAACGAGUGUACAUUGAAGCCUACGUAUUUCAUUUUUAAAUACGUCGACACUUUAUUUUUCGGCAGUUGCCAACGAGAAAUCCUCACCGGAAGCCGCUGACAAUAGGAUCAUAGCCUAAAUGUAAGCUGAUGUGGACGGAUUCGAAUUGUGCUAUUCAUUCAAUAUCUACUCGAAAGGAAAUAACAUGCGUCUUAAUAUACUCAGAAUUUCAAAGUCGGAUGGCUCGGAUGAUGUUGCGCUGUCUGAAAGCAAUCCAUCAGUCCAUCAGUCCAUCAGUCGUUCGUUAUUGCAAAGGAAUCCAUCGACUGCCACUAGGUGGCUACAACUGUGUUCACCAGAUGGCGGCCAUUACCAUUCUGACGGACGAAUUAUCCGCCAUUGCUGGGAGAGUCCGUCCGAGACGCUGAGCAAAAAUGUGCUGCCAGUUGCUACAUAAAUGGUGUUCCACGACAUUUUCACAAUGAAAAAUGAUGAGAUAUCUAAUCAUCCAUCUAUCAGCCUGUUGACUGUUUCUAUUUAAUGGGCACUCCAUUGUCAAACAAUUGUUUGUCUAUCGCCUACUUCCUUUUUUUUUUCAUUCACCGAAGGAACAAGUCAAAUGACUCCAAUGUCAAUUGGUAUAAAACCCAUCCAGAGCAUCGUCAACCUGCAGAGGGAAAGGCAUGUCCUUGACUUGAAGAUCACGGAGAUCAUUAUGUAAAACGUGUCUUGUGGUGUAGAGGUUGGGUGAGAAUGGGGAAGUGUUGCAUCAUUAUCAUAGUGUUGCAUAUAUCAAGCAGCCGCAAGGCUUAAGAGGUGAAUAAGGAUGGGGAAAAAUCGUAUAAAAGGCGAAAGAAAUCAGUCGAGUGAGCAUCUGCGACACGUCAACAACUGCAGCGCGCAAGUUGUCACAAACUGCCUUCUUUAUCAUGUUACCAGUUCGCAAUCAAAAUGGUGUACCUGUACUGUGCCCCUGGCAAGACAUAGGUAAAGGGGCCUGAAAUUGCCAUUUUCUCCCCUUCAUAAAACAUCAACGACUUCAGUGAGCCUCUCCGACACGGCAACGACUGCUGCAGCUUUCAAAAUUUUCACCAACUGCCUUCUUCAGCAUUUUAAAUCAAUUAGCAAUCAUGGUUAAUUAUGGCGUUGUGCUGCUGUUGGGUGUUGUAUCGUUGAUUUCUGGGUCGACUACGAGUGUACCGAUGCCUCCUGGAUACGGAGGCCCCGAGUUACUUCACCAAAGCGUCUGAGUACUACACUGAGGCUCCCAAGUACUACACCACCACAUCUCUAGACUACUUCACCGAGAUUCCAGUUUAUUACACCACUUAGCUAUCGAAUACCACAACGAAGUGCCAAAGUACUACAUUGCAAUCUACGCUGCCCCAGCUUACACCACCAAGGGACCGGAGUACUGCACCACCAAGGGACUGGAGUACUAAACCACAACCUACGCUGCCCCAGCUGACUACACCGCCAUGAGCAACACAGUCACAUCUGAGGCAGCCAAGUAUUACUGCACAGCGGCCGCCUCUUAGUACUAAACUGAACCGGAAUACUGCACUGAUGCUCCAGUUUACUACACCACAACCUACGUUACACCAAGAUGCUACACCGAAGCUUCCAAGUACUGCACCAGCACGGCCGAAUAUUACACCACCACGUUGCUGCCCUAGUCUACUAUACCGAGGAACCCAAGUAUUACUCUGCUCCAAGCAACUACCGAACAGAGGCUCCUGUUGACUACACCACCCAUGCCCCGGGGUUUUACACGCUGCCCCCAUCUACACCCCCAAGGCUCCAAAGUACAACACCACUAAGGCAGUCGAGUACUAUACCACUACUUACGCUGCUCCCACCUACUACUUGAAAAUUUCUGGAGAUAAAUUAUAAGUCACUUGCCUAAUACUUGUGAAAAACUUAAGUUGUGAGAAAAAUAUAUAACUACUAAACAUUA